Schistocerca serialis cubense is the source of this 72-nucleotide non-coding RNA. The record is from the annotation of a RefSeq genome assembly. NCBI's taxonomy places the organism in Eukaryota, Metazoa, Arthropoda, Insecta, Orthoptera, Acrididae.
GCCAGGGUGGCGUAGUGGAUAGCGCAUUUGCCUCGUGAGCAGAAGACCAGGGUUCGAAUCCUGGCUUUGGUA